AUUGAACGCUGGCGGCAGGCCUAACACAUGCAAGUCGAGCGGAUGAAGGGAGCUUGCUCCUGGAUUCAGCGGCGGACGGGUGAGUAAUGCCUAGGAAUCUGCCUGGUAGUGGGGGAUAACGUCCGGAAACGGGCGCUAAUACCGCAUACGUCCUGAGGGAGAAAGUGGGGGAUCUUCGGACCUCACGCUAUCAGAUGAGCCUAGGUCGGAUUAGCUAGUUGGUGGGGUAAAGGCCUACCAAGGCGACGAUCCGUAACUGGUCUGAGAGGAUGAUCAGUCAAACUGGAACUGGGACACGGUCCAGACUCCUACGGGAGGCAGCAGUUGGGAAUAUUGGACAAUGGGCGAAAGCCUGAUCCAGCCAUGCCGCGUGUGUGAAGAAGGUCUUCGGAUUGUAAAGCACUUUAAGUUGGGAGGAAGGGCAGUAAGUUAAUACCUUGCUGUUUUGACGUUACCAACAGAAUAAGCACCGGCUAACUUCGUG
RNAcentral lists this ribosomal RNA (484 nucleotides) under uncultured bacterium. Its description in RNAcentral is "partial 16S ribosomal RNA". It matches the Rfam family "Bacterial small subunit ribosomal RNA", at positions 30 to 507 of the family's 1533-position model. The record is from RNAcentral.